GGGAAAGCCAGAAGGAGAGAGACAACUAGAAAGACCAAGAGGUCACUCCAUCAAUGGGGGAAAAUUGUGUGUGACACGCAGAGAGGCCGAUGAAGAGCUGGGAAUCAGAAACCUCUAUAGAAAAUGGGGAAUCUGUGGACCCUCAUUAGUAGCCUUGAUGAGACCAGACCUCUGGCAGAGAAAACGGUUCAGCUGAGUAGCGAGUCCCACUUGGACAAACAUUUUUCAGUUUCUCCCCUGCAGUGGAAGAAAUACCUUGUUGUGGAGCUAAGGGCAUUACAACUUCCAUCCACAUCACUAGUAAAGCACCACAGACUGCAGAGUUUAAUGCAGACAGUGAUGAGACUUAUAAAGCAGGGUACGAAACCCCAUGAUUACACGAUCAUGAAGGUAAACUUCGAUAUAUGAUAUAAAUUCCGU
Molecule: long non-coding RNA, 420 nt
Organism: Cryptotermes secundus
Lineage: Eukaryota; Metazoa; Arthropoda; Insecta; Blattodea; Kalotermitidae
Exons: 3
Source: RefSeq, a predicted model, not a curated record